This 3008-nucleotide ribosomal RNA is filed under the name Haemophilus haemolyticus. RNAcentral's name for it is "bacterial LSU rRNA". It matches the Rfam family "Bacterial large subunit ribosomal RNA". Lineage: Bacteria; Pseudomonadati; Pseudomonadota; Gammaproteobacteria; Pasteurellales; Pasteurellaceae. The record is from RNAcentral.
UUAAGUGACUAAGCGUACAAGGUGGAUGCCUUGGCAAUCAGAGGCGAAGAAGGACGUGCUAAUCUGCGAAAAGCUUGGAUGAGUCGAUAAGAGGCGUUUAAUCCAAGAUAUCCGAAUGGGGAAACCCAGUAGAUGAAGAAUCUACUAUCAACAAGUGAAUACAUAGUUUGUUGAGGCAAACCGGGAGAACUGAAACAUCUAAGUACCCCGAGGAAAAGAAAUCAACCGAGAUUUCGUUAGUAGCGGCGAGCGAACGCGAAGGAGCCUGUUAGUGAUAAUGACAGAGACAGAGGAACAAGCUGGGAAGCUUAGCGACACAGGGUGAUAGCCCCGUACUCGAAGUCCAGGUCAUGGUACUAAGCUAACGAUAAGUAGGGCGGGACACGUGAUAUCCUGUUUGAAGAUGGGGGGACCAUCCUCCAAGGCUAAAUACUCCUGAUUGACCGAUAGUGAACCAGUACUGUGAAGGAAAGGCGAAAAGAACCCCGGUGAGGGGAGUGAAAUAGAACCUGAAACCUUGUACGUACAAGCAGUGGGAGCCUGAAAGGGUGACUGCGUACCUUUUGUAUAAUGGGUCAGCGACUUAUAUUUUGUAGCGAGGUUAACCGAAUAGGGGAGCCGAAGGGAAACCGAGUCUUAACUGGGCGAAUAGUUGCAAGGUAUAGACCCGAAACCCGGUGAUCUAGCCAUGGGCAGGUUGAAGGUUGGGUAACACUAACUGGAGGACCGAACCGACUAAUGUUGAAAAAUUAGCGGAUGACUUGUGGCUGGGGGUGAAAGGCCAAUCAAACCGGGAGAUAGCUGGUUCUCCCCGAAAUCUAUUUAGGUAGAGCCUUGAGCGGACACCUUUGGGGGUAGAGCACUGUUUCGGCUAGGGGUCCAUCCCGGAUUACCAACCCGAUGCAAACUACGAAUACCAAAGAGUGAUACUCAGGAGACACACGGCGGGUGCUAACGUCCGUCGUGGAGAGGGAAACAACCCAGACCGCCAGCUAAGGUCCCCAAGUCUAUAUUAAGUGGGAAACGAAGUGGGAAGGCUUAGACAGCUAGGAUGUUGGCUUAGAAGCAGCCAUCAUUUAAAGAAAGCGUAAUAGCUCACUAGUCGAGUCGGCCUGCGCGGAAGAUGUAACGGGGCUGAAAUAUAGCACCGAAGCUGCGGCAUCAGGCGUAUCACUAAUACGCCUUACGAUUAACAACAUGGAAUGACGCGAAGCGACAUGAAAUGUUGUUCAAGCAACCCGAACGUUGAGUCGGGCAUCUUUGAGUGAGGAUUAUUAGUGAUACGUCUGUUGGGUAGGGGAGCGUUCUGUAAGCGGAUGAAGGUUAAUCGAGAGGUUAGCUGGACGUAUCAGAAGUGCGAAUGCUGACAUAAGUAACGAUAAAACGGGUGAAAAACCCGUUCGCCGGAAGACCAAGGGUUCCUGUCCAACGUUAAUCGGGGCAGGGUGAGUCGGCCCCUAAGGCGAGGCUGAAGAGCGUAGUCGAUGGGAAACAGGUUAAUAUUCCUGUACUUGGUAAAGCUGCGAUGUGGGGACGGAGUAGGUUAGGUUAUCGCACUGUUGGAUAUGUGCGUUUAAGUUGGUAGGUGGGAAGUUUAGGCAAAUCCGGACUUCCUUAACACUGAGAGAUGAUGACGAGGCUCUACGGAGCUGAAGUAACUGAUACCACACUUCCAGGAAAAGCCACUAAGCGAAAGGCUUUACUAAACCGUACUGAAAACCGACACAGGUGGUCAGGUAGAGAAUACUCAGGCGCUUGAGAGAACUCGGGUGAAGGAACUAGGCAAAAUAGCACCGUAACUUCGGGAGAAGGUGCGCCGGCGUAGAUUGUAAGGGCUAGCCCCUGAAGGUUGAACCGGUCGAAGAUACCAGCUGGCUGCAACUGUUUAUUAAAAACACAGCACUCUGCAAACACGAAAGUGGACGUAUAGGGUGUGAUGCCUGCCCGGUGCUGGAAGGUUAAUUGAUGGUGUAAUCGAAAGAGAAGCUCCUGAUCGAAGCCCCAGUAAACGGCGGCCGUAACUAUAACGGUCCUAAGGUAGCGAAAUUCCUUGUCGGGUAAGUUCCGACCUGCACGAAUGGCAUAAUGAUGGCCAGGCUGUCUCCACCCGAGACUCAGUGAAAUUGAAAUCGCCGUGAAGAUGCGGUGUACCCGCGGCUAGACGGAAAGACCCCGUGAACCUUUACUAUAGCUUGACACUGAACAUUGAAUUUUGAUGUGUAGGAUAGGUGGGAGACUAUGAAGAUGAUACGCCAGUAUUGUUGGAGUCGUCCUUGAAAUACCACCCUUUAACGUUUGAUGUUCUAACGAAGAUUACGAAACGUGGUCUCGGACAGUGUCUGGUGGGUAGUUUGACUGGGGCGGUCUCCUCCCAAAGAGUAACGGAGGAGCACGAAGGUUUGCUAAUCACGGUCGGACAUCGUGAGGUUAGUGCAAUGGUAUAAGCAAGCUUAACUGCGAGACAGACAAGUCGAGCAGGUACGAAAGUAGGUCAUAGUGAUCCGGUGGUUCUGAAUGGAAGGGCCAUCGCUCAACGGAUAAAAGGUACUCCGGGGAUAACAGGCUGAUACCGCCCAAGAGUUCAUAUCGACGGCGGUGUUUGGCACCUCGAUGUCGGCUCAUCACAUCCUGGGGCUGAAGUAGGUCCCAAGGGUAUGGCUGUUCGCCAUUUAAAGUGGUACGCGAGCUGGGUUUAGAACGUCGUGAGACAGUUCGGUCCCUAUCUGCCGUGGGCGUUGGAGAAUUGGUUGGGGCUGCUCCUAGUACGAGAGGACCGGAGUGGACGCACCACUGGUGUUCCGGUUGUGUCGCCAGACGCAUUGCCGGGUAGCUAAGUGCGGAAGAGAUAAGUGCUGAAAGCAUCUAAGCACGAAACUUGCCAAGAGAUGAGUUCUCCCACACAUCAAGUGUGUAAGGGUUGUUUAAGACUAAGACGUAGAUAGGCAGGGUGUGUAAGUGAUGUGAGUCAUUGAGCUAACCUGUACUAAUUGCCCGAGAGGCUUAACUAU